GAAUAAUUUUUUUUUUUUUAAUAUUUUGUUGAAAUUUAGUGACCCAUUUUUUAUCAUUAUAACGCUGUGAACUUUGAACAUGUUAAACGAUAAACGAAAAUGAAUUUAAAAAACCCUAAUUUAUUUAAAUACAAUUUUAAAAAGAAUGGCAUUACAUUUAGAUAGUUUAAUAUCUUUUCUAUACAAAUUCAUUUGAAUUUUGCUAAAAGAUGAUAAUAAAAAGCUUAAAUAUAAGUUUGUGAUUUGGAAUACCCUACUAAUUUCUUGUCCCCAACUGUCUAAGAGUGCCAGAGUGUGUGCGACACGCCACAAACAUAAAUGCGAAGUGUGUGGAACGUAAGUGGAUGCCGAGAGCAAGCUUACUCUCCCGCUCUCUCUCUCUCUCUUUUGGGGCUGCUUUGGCACUCAGCACACACAAGCAUGAACACCCCCUCUCAAACUCACACACACACACACACACACAGAGAUAGACCGCCUUUUUGCGCCGCCGAAACGAACACUUUUACGAAGGCGAAUCAGUUUCAUUUGUCAGUUCGAUCCAACUAGAAAGCAGUUAACGAGUAGUCUGUGUUCGCUUGCGGUUAAAAGCCACGAGCUUAAGCAAAAACCGCCGCCCAACAAUAACAACAACCAAUUCUACGAGUGUGUGUGUGUGUGUGUGAGCAAAAAAUUAUGCCAGCAGAAAUCUA
Long non-coding RNA from Drosophila eugracilis, 689 nucleotides. RefSeq lists it as uncharacterized. The transcript has 2 exons. The record is from RefSeq and is a predicted model, not a curated record. Lineage: Eukaryota; Metazoa; Arthropoda; Insecta; Diptera; Drosophilidae.